GGAUUGGGAGGGUUCUACGGAACCCGUUUGGUGAAUCUAGUGCCGAGAAAAGCCUUCUAUGUGUUGAGUUUCUAGUACCCGUACCCCAAACCGACACAGGUGGGUGGGUAGAGCAUACCUAGGGGCGCGUGAUAACUCUCUCUAAGGAACUCGGCAAAAUGGCCCUGUAACUUCGGGAUAAGGGGUGCCUGCGUGAGCAGGCCGCAGUGAAAUGGCUCUGGCGACUGUUUACCAUAAACACAGGUCUCUGCUAAGUCGUAAGACGAUGUAUAGGGGCUGACUCCUGCCCAGUGCCGGAAGGUUAAGGAAGUUGGUUAGCGCAAGCGAAGCUGGCGACCGAAGCCCCGGUGAACGGCGGCCGUAACAAUAACGGUCCUAAGGUAGCGAAAUUCCUUGUCGGGUAAGAUCCGACCCGCACGAAAGGAGUAACGAUCAGAGCGCUGUCUCGGAGAGAGACACGGCGAAAUAGGAUUGUCCGUGAAGAUACGGACUACCUGCACCCGGACAGAAAGACCCUAUGAAGCUUUACUGUAACUUGGAAUUGUGUUCGGACUUUGUCUGCGCAGAAUAGGUGGGAGGCUAUGAAACGUUCCUCGCGGGGAACUGGAGCCAUCGUUGAGAUACCACUCUGGCAGAGUCUGGAUUCUAACCUACGGGGACAGUUCCAGGUGGGCAGUUUGACUGGGGCGGUCGCCUCCUAAAAUGUAACGGAGGCGCGCAAAGGUUCCCUCAGGCUGGUUGGAAAUCAGCCAUAGAGUGUAAAAGCAUAAGGGAGCUUGACUGUGAGACCUACAAGUCGAGCAGGGACGAAAGUCGGCUUUAGUGAUCCGACGGCACUGAGUGGAAGGGCCGUCGCUCAACGGAUAAAAGUUACUCUAAGGAUAACAGGCUGAUCUCCCCCAAGAGUUCACAUCGACGGGGAGGUUUGGCACCUCGAUGUCGGCUCGUCGCAACCUGGGGCGGUAGUACGUCCCAAGGGUUGGGCUGUUCGCCCAUUAAAGCGGCACGUGAGCUGGGUUCAGAACGUCGUGAGACAGUUCGGUCCAUAUCCGGUGUAGGCGUAGGAGCAUUGAAAGGAUCUCUCCUUAGUACGAGAGGACCGGGAGGGACGUACCUCUGGUGUACCUGUUAUCGUGCCAACGGUAAACGCAGGGUAGCCAUGUACGGAGUGGAUAACCGCUGAAAGCAUCUAAGUGGGAAGCCCACCUUAAGAUGAGUGCUCCCUUGAGGCCACGGGAAGACGACCCGUUUGAUAGGCGCUAGGUGGAAGUGCAGUAAUGCACGCAGCCGAGGCGUACUAAUAGGCCGAUGGCUUGUCU
Molecule: ribosomal RNA, 1319 nt
Filed under: metagenome
Description: bacterial LSU rRNA
Rfam family: Bacterial large subunit ribosomal RNA
Source: RNAcentral